ACUCGCUGAAACUCUGAGGUGUAACAAGGUCCCUGGACAGAGUGAGAAGUGAGGAUGGGCAAGCCUUCUCCCCAGCAGCACUUGUGCCCUCAAAAAUGUGAGAUGUAAGCAAAGAUGUCUUCUACUUUUGCCUCCCUCUUCUGUGCUGGUCUUUCAUUUCAUCCUUUUUCUGACUGCUCCCCACUCUACAUGCACACAAAUCAAAAUUUUCUUGCAGGAAAUCAUUUCAUAAAUUUGUUCUCAGCAAGGAAUACAUUAAUGGUAAACUUUUUAAAAUGGCUUAUUCCUCUUAACAGAAAUUUACCAAAGAAUAAAGUGCUUAGAUAAAGGAAUAAAUAUCUAAUUGUAAAAUUUCAUUUUCUUAGUAGGAAAAGGGUCUUAAGUAGGGGAGCAGAGAAGUUGAAUUCAAACCAACUAGUGGCCAUGCAAAGGGACUUUGGAACUAGUUGGACCCAGGCUCUAAAAAUUACUAACUGCGUGUCCUUGUACAAGUCACUUAACCUUCCUUGCUUUCACUGACAAUUUAAGAUAACUGAUUAAUCCGAGGUAAUGUACAUAAAUCCCUUUGAAGUGUGGCUCAGCAAACAAGGAAGGUACUUUGCAAACAUUAGAAUUAGAACCUACUUCCUUGCUUAUUCUGCUUAUGAAACAAGGCAGUGCUGACUCAAGAGUUUUCUGGUGUUAGGAUGAUCAGUGGUUUUCUCCCAACUCAAACCCACUGUGGCUAUUUGAGUGACAAAUGGAGAACUGUUUUCAUUGCCACACCACAUCUUGAGAACAAACUGUCUUCUUUACCUCUGUAUCCUCAGAGAUCUUGGUACAUAAAACACAUCAUAAUUAAACCAUCUCACUCAAUUCGUCCUCAUUGCUUCUCACCUUUUCUCGGCUACCUUCUACCUCAGGACUGCCAAGAUUUUAUCCCUACUUUGUGCUAUUUCUUUUCCUGCUUCAUUGCUGUCUUUCAAUGCCUGCAUCCUUCCCAAUCCCUUUUCUAUCUUUGACAGGUACAGCAUUGUCUCCUUUCCUCUAAAGCCUUAAUGUACAGGUUUGUGGGUAAUCCCAUAUUAAGUGCUGUUGCCAUAUUUUACUGAAAGUUCAACAAACUAGGGAGUGAUUGCUUGGGCCGGGUCAGAAGAGGUCCACUUUAUUGAUGGGGGCAUGAUAGUCCCUCCCCCAGUGAGGAGCUCUUGCAAGAACAGAUCCCUAUGAAGGGUGAACUCCCAGAGAAGUGCCUCAAGAACACUGAAAAUUGGACCCUCUUCAGGGAAUGUUAACAGAUGAAUUAUGCGAUGUGAAAAUUUCCAAUAGAUGUUGAGGCAGCUCUAAGUGAGGGGCUAACCAGCAGAGAAGGCUUUUCCUUUUCACCGUCUCAGGACAGCCAAACUGCCGCCGCCUUGAGGGGCGGUCAGGCAUCUUGCAGUUUCACACAUUCUAGUCUACUUCCGGCUUAUCCUGGCAAUUCCUUGUUGGAAUGCAAUAAGGUCAGGAAAAUGCCUAAACUCUUUUCAGUUGUUUACUGAAAACCGUUUGGGAUCAUUGAGGUGACAAGAAAGCCUGAGAGCAGGUCGUGAGAGGAUCCAGGUUCUGAGGUACUGAGUCCUGAGGUACUGAGUCCUGGUACUGAGGUGAGUACAGAAGCACCAUAGGGUGGGUAGAAAGGAAGUCACAGAGAGUGGAGCCUGAGGAGACAGACCACCUCUGCAAUUUUGCUGGUGGAAGACCUCACAUUCAUUGAAAAGAGAAGUAACAAAAAACCAAGGUGCAUUGUAAGCGUAUGUAGAAGUCAAGAGAACAGCAGAUUAACAUGGAGAAGGAACCAAUAGAAGAAGUCUAAAAUAAAUGGUUCUAUUUACUAAGACCCUCUCUUUUUAACUGGAAAGAAUAUGAUGACUAUUUCCCUGAAAUAGGGGUUUAAAAAGACACAGGUGGAAAGGUAUGAAGGGUGGGUAUAACUACGGUAUCUAUCUAGCUGGUAGGUAGAUACUGUAGUUACCUAGUAUCUAGCUGGGUGUUAUGGAUUAAAAGUUUGUGGUUCCCUGCUCCAUUCAUAUGGUGAAAUCCUAACUCUCAAUGUGAUUACAUUAGGGGGUAGGGUCUUUGGGAGGAAAUUAGGACAUGAGGGUAGAGCACUCAUGAUAGCAUUAAUACCUAAUGAGAAGAAAUAUGAGAGAAAUAAUCUCUUUUGGCCUUGUGAGGAUACAACCAGAAGAUGGCCAUUUGCAAAUCUGAAAGCAUGCCCUCACCAGACACCAAAUUGCCUACUGCCUUGAUAUUGGACUUUCCAGCCUCUAUAAUUGUGAGAAAUAAAUGUUUGUUGUGUGAGCCACCCGGUCUGUGGUGUUCUGUUAGAGCAACUCAAACUGGCUAAGACACCAGGGGUGGGCUUCAGAAGAUGAAAGCUGUCUGCAGCAUGUGGCUGAAAAUUGUAUCUCCAAAUGGCUUCUAGGAUGGAAGUCCACGUUCUAUGGGCCAGAGGUCCUAGUGGGAUUGGCCCCUCUGGGUCAGCUGAGACUAUCUCUCCUCUGCAAUGGUGGUGUCUUAGAGUUGCUCAUCUUGCCCUGGUCUGGGAUCAGCUAUCCAGCAAUUUGGAAAUAACCAUGACUUUAAUCUCUGCCAUAUUAAGCUUGGAGGGAACCAAGAACAGUUGUAAGGAAAUAGUUACCAGAGCCAUGGAGCAAGCCAGUCAAUGAAACAGCUGGGAAAAUAUGGGGGCAUAGAAUUCUGGGGAGCUUGCUUUUCUGUUGCUUAACUUCAAAAUGAGAAAAACCUGGAGCUUAAAUGCUGCCAAAACUUGGAAGCAACCAAGAUGUCCUUCAGUAGGCCAAUGGACAAACAAAUUGUGAUUCAUCCAUACAAUAGAAUAUUAUACAGCAGCAAAAAGAAAUGAGCUAUCAAGCCACAAAAAGACAUGGAGGAGGCUUAAAUGCAUAUUUCUAAGUGAGAGAAGCCAAUCUGAAGAUGCUACAUAUUGUAUAACUGUAUGUCCCAACCAUAUGACAUUCUGGAAAAGGCAAAAUUAUGAAGACAAUAAAAAGAUCAGUGAUUGCCAGAUAGUCAGGUGGAGGGAGGGAGGAUGGAAGGGAUAAAUUGGUGGAGCACAGGCGAUGUUUAGAGCAGUGAACCUAUUCUGUUUGUUACUGUAAUGGUGGAUGUAUUCUAUUAUAUGUUUGUCAAAAUCCAUAGAAUGUAUAACAGAGAGAGAGUAAACCUUAAUGUAAACUAUAGACUGUAGUUAAUAAUAAUGUAUCAAUAUUGCUCAUCUAUUAUAAGACACAUAUCACACUAAUACAAUAUGUUAAAAAUAGGGGAAUCUGUGGGGAAGGAGAUGAGGAAAUGGGGAGGAGGUGGGGCUAUGUGGGAACUCUGUAUUU
This 3371-nucleotide long non-coding RNA is filed under the name Homo sapiens (human). Its description in RNAcentral is "non-protein coding lnc-NEPRO-5:2". The record is from RNAcentral. Lineage: Eukaryota; Metazoa; Chordata; Mammalia; Primates; Hominidae.